This 811-nucleotide long non-coding RNA is filed under the name Equus caballus (horse). RNAcentral describes it as "lncRNA (ENSECAG00000034502.2)". Lineage: Eukaryota; Metazoa; Chordata; Mammalia; Perissodactyla; Equidae. The record is from RNAcentral.
CCACAAGCCUUUCCAGGCCACCCCCUGGGCGGGGGGUGAGUUAGGGCAAUGUGAAUCAGCCUGUAAGGUGGAAUGCUCAGACAUUGGGGUCUUCUUCUCACUCCUGACAGUCCGACUCGGGUGCCCCCAGUGAGUGAGCAGCUCUCCCAAGCAACAGGUCCAGGUCCCAAGCUCCUCCACCUCGUGGCCCCGCCGUCUCCCACCGUGGCUCCCAAGGUCUCCAGAUGUAGAGGGAAGAGUGCUCCGAGUUCAGAAUCCGGCCACCCUGUUUCCCAUCCCAGUUGUGCCAUGAGUCUGAUUGGGGCCAGGUCAUUUCACCUCUCCCAAUUCCCGAUGCUUAAUCGGUAAAAUGGGCUUUUGUCAAGACUGAGCCAACGUGGGGUGUGAAAUUUCCAGUCACCGAGCGGGCCCUCAGCACACAGCACCUGCCUCCUUCCUUCCAUCCACUCAGCUCUGUGAAGUCUGUGGACGUGGAGGCCGGUGGAGACCACCAACUCAUCAGCCGGGCCACGCAGAUGUCUGAUAGGCAACCUUUUGACGUCAAGAGGCUAAAAACUCCACCCUCAGAUCAUGCUAACGCCUCCAUUUUGUGAACACGGGUCCUAGAAGAGGCAUGGAGUCUUACUGUGCUUGUGCAGACCGUCAGUUACCUCAUCUCUCCUCCCCUCAGAUCGUCUCUCUCCACAUUUCAGACCGCCUUGCCCCCAUCCCAUAAAGAUUGCUGAGUCUGUUUUCAGGGAGAUGGAUUUGAGGCUCAUGCUCUCGCUUCCUCGUGAGCAAACCCUCUCUCUGCUGCAAUCUCGUCAUUCAU